This is a non-coding RNA of Drosophila melanogaster (fruit fly), 747 nucleotides long. The record is from Ensembl. Lineage: Eukaryota; Metazoa; Arthropoda; Insecta; Diptera; Drosophilidae.
GACAGUUUGUUCAUUUUUUAACGAAAACAAACAUCCAGCCGGCAUCCCGAAUCGUCGAACUCUGUGGCCUGGGGCCCGGUUUUCGGGAUGGUGUUCACAUACCCGUUCAAAGCCUGACAAAGCAUUCGGCCAGCAGUUCAAAAGUCAGCCAUUAUUUUCGCUUUUUACAGCUCGCAACAGCUCAGCAAUUUGUCAGGCUAACGCGUCGCCAAUUGACGCCAUUUUUUUAUGAUGCCCCGUUUUUAUGCUGCCCUUUUGGGUGGGGCAUACUCGCCUGGAUAUGGGCAUGGAUACGGCUGAGGAUGGUGGCGAUGGUGGAGGUACGUGUAUGGAUGGGGGCGGGAAUGAGGAGCAGCUGGUGCCGGAAUGGAAUGCCAGCUUGGCAGAAUGUAAUCGGACAAUGGCAACUUGCCAGCAGCGGAAAAAAGGAGAAUAUGGAUCAAGGGUUCGCUUCAGUCAAUCAGCAGAGCCGACAAAAGCGGAAGCUUAUCUCGAAAACACUAAGCAGUAAGGAGCAGCAGUAAGCAGCACGCAGCACUAAGCAGUCCGCAUUCAGCAAGCAGUGGAAUGGCAUCCGGAGCCCAUUUGCAUGCCAACGUAUUGGGGGGCAGGCUAGCAUGAAAAUAAUUUUGCCGGCAUGUCGGAGGACGUGCCGAUAAAUGUCAAAACACGCCAAUAUGCGAAUAUAUAUUUCCAUAUUAUACAUCGCUAUCUUAUCCUAUUUUUUCCGCCUCCUUCCCUUUAUAU